AAGGAGGCAGCAGUGGGGAAUAUUGGACAAUGGGCGCAAGCCUGAUCCAGCAAUACCGCGUGUGUGAAGAAGGCCUUAGGGUUGUAAAGCACUUUCAAUUGGGAGGAAUACCUGUUGGUUAAUACCCGACAGAUUGACAUUACCUUUAGAAGAAGCACCGGCUAACUCCGUGCCAGCAGCCGCGGUAAUACGGAGGGUGCGAGCGUUAAUCGGAAUUACUGGGCGUAAAGAGUGCGUAGGCGGUUAUUUAAGUCAGAUGUGAGAGCCCUGGGCUUAACCUGGGAACGGCAUUUGAUACUGAAUAACUGGAGUUUGGGAGAGGUAAGUGGAAUUUCAGGUGUAGCGGUGAAAUGCGUAGAUAUCUGAAGGAACACCAGUGGCGAAGGCGACUUACUGGCCUAAAACUGACGCUGAGGCACGAAAGCAUGGGUAGCAAACAGGAUUAGAUACCCCAGU
This 456-nucleotide ribosomal RNA is filed under the name uncultured bacterium. RNAcentral describes it as "bacterial SSU rRNA". It matches the Rfam family "Bacterial small subunit ribosomal RNA", at positions 342 to 791 of the family's 1533-position model. The record is from RNAcentral.